AGCGAACGCUGGCGGCAGGCUUAACACAUGCAAGUCGAGCGGGCGUAGCAAUACGUCAGCGGCAGACGGGUGAGUAACGCGUGGGAACGUACCUUUUGGUUCGGAACAACCCAGGGAAACUUGGGCUAAUACCGGAUAAGCCCUUACGGGGAAAGAUUUAUCGCCAAAAGAUCGGCCCGCGUCUGAUUAGCUAGUUGGUGAGGUAACGGCUCACCAAGGCGACGAUCAGUAGCUGGUCUGAGAGGAUGAUCAGCCACAUUGGGACUGAGACACGGCCCAAACUCCUACGGGAGGCAGCAGUGGGGAAUAUUGGACAAUGGGCGCAAGCCUGAUCCAGCCAUGCCGCGUGAGUGAUGAAGGCCCUAGGGUUGUAAAGCUCUUUUGUGCGGGAAGAUAAUGACGGUACCGCAAGAAUAAGCCCCGGCUAACUUCGUGCCAGCAGCCGCUGUAAG
This 452-nucleotide ribosomal RNA is filed under the name uncultured bacterium. Its description in RNAcentral is "bacterial SSU rRNA". It matches the Rfam family "Bacterial small subunit ribosomal RNA", at positions 29 to 524 of the family's 1533-position model. The record is from RNAcentral.